AUUUAUUUAGUAUAAUUAGUACAUUUGACUUCCAAUCAUAAAGCUUGAAUAUUCAAAAUAAAUA
Molecule: transfer RNA, 64 nt
Filed under: Mecopoda niponensis
Lineage: Eukaryota; Metazoa; Arthropoda; Insecta; Orthoptera; Tettigoniidae
Description: tRNA-Gly
Rfam family: tRNA
About the family: Transfer RNA (tRNA) molecules are approximately 80 nucleotides in length. Their secondary structure includes four short double-helical elements and three loops (D, anti-codon, and T loops).
Source: RNAcentral